GAUGAAGAACGCAGCGAAAUGCGAUAAGUAAUGUGAAUUGCAGAAUUCAGUGAAUCAUCGAAUCUUUGAACGCACAUUGCGCCUCCUGGUAUUCCGGGGGGCAUGCCUGUUCGAGCGUCAUUUCACCACUCAAGCCUCGCUUGGUAUUGGGCAACGCGGUCCGCCGCGUGCCUCAAAUCGACCGGCUGGGUCUUCUGUCCCCUAAGCGUUGUGGAAACUAUUCGCUAAAGGGUGUUCGGGAGGCUACGCCGUAAAACAACCCCAUUUCUAAGGUUGACCUCGGAUCAGGUAGGGAUACCCGCUGAACUUAAGCAUAUCAAUAAGCGGAGGA
This 331-nucleotide unclassified non-coding RNA is filed under the name soil metagenome. RNAcentral describes it as "partial contains 5.8S ribosomal RNA, internal transcribed spacer 2, and large subunit ribosomal RNA". The stretch from base 1 to 120 matches the Rfam family "5.8S ribosomal RNA", at positions 35 to 154 of the family's 154-position model. The record is from RNAcentral.